This 274-nucleotide ribosomal RNA is filed under the name uncultured bacterium. RNAcentral's name for it is "partial 16S ribosomal RNA". It matches the Rfam family "Bacterial small subunit ribosomal RNA", at positions 523 to 796 of the family's 1533-position model. The record is from RNAcentral.
AUACGGAGGGGGCUAGCGUUGUUCGGAAUUACUGGGCGUAAAGCGCGCGUAGGCGGCUUGCCAAGUUGGGGGUGAAAUCCCAGGGCUCAACCCUGGAACUGCACCCGAUACUGCCUGGCUGGAGUCCCGGAGAGGAUGGCGGAAUUUCCGGUGUAGAGGUGAAAUUCGUAGAUAUCGGAAGGAACACCAGUGGCGAAGGCGGCCAUCUGGACGGUGACUGACGCUGAGACGCGAAAGCGUGGGGAGCAAACAGGAUUAGAUACCCCAGUAGUCC